UGGAAGAAGCUGCCUGAAGUUGAGAACAUGCCAAACAUUAACCUUAAUAAUGCUGUGAACUCUCCAAAUGUAAACUAUAUCCACUGGCGAGUGCACGGGGACUGGGAUACUCAGCUGAACUACUACGAUUCUAUCAAAGCUGUCAUUUCAAGCUCCAACCACGAGCCCACUGCCCUAGUCAUAGGGUGCACUGUGGGAACAACAAAUGUCAAGCAAAAGAUGAAAGAGAUAAAGGAUGUUGGGAAAAAUGUCAAAGCAAGAAAAGACCAAGUAUUCCUCGGUUUGCCCCAAAGGCAAGAAGGAUGUGAUCAAACAGUUUUCUGCAUCCACAAAGGAGUCAAGGCAUUUACGUUCUGCAAGGGAAAGAAUUUGCUAUUCACAGGUGGAAUGGAUAGGAUAAUUAGAGUCUGGAAUCCUUAUCUGCCUGGAAAACCAACAGGUAUGCUGAGAAGCCACACAGCUCCAGUGAUUUACAUCCAUGUGUCUGCUGAGGAUAACGAGAUAUUUUCCAUGCCCACCGACAACACUAUUAAAGUCUUUGCCCUGUUAUGUUUCGAUGUGUUAUCCAACGUGGUUUUAGACAGAGAAGGUGUUCCUUUCAUGUUUUUGUUCCUCUCUCUGGAGCCUUUGGGGCCUCUGAUUAGCAGAUGGCAUUUGCUUCCAUGGAUCUGCUUUUGAAAUGGAGAAUAGGCGAGCAGGCGAAGGGCAGCCUCUCCGAGAACUUUCUAUACCUGCUGUUUUGUUGGGAUGAGUAAACAUUAUAGCACUGAGUCCUCUGCUUAUAUCCCAUCCAGAGAUUCCUUGUGAGAAUGCAGGUUGGGGAGAGGGGGAACUGGGGACAGAACUGGGACAGAAGGAGUCAGCAGUCCUUUGCCACUAGAGGUAAUCAUCUUAUCUUGCAGUACUCAUAGAGCAAGUGGGCCCUUUCUGAAAUGCUUUCUCUAAGGCUUAGAAUUUAAACCUUUCUGGCCCUGGCAGAGGUAGCAACAUCCCUACCUUCAUUUUGUUUGCCUUCAUACCUCUUUUAAUACCCAGGGUCCUGUCUGCCUCUAAAGCCCAGUCACUCUAAUAUCUCUGGAAUACACUAUUUUUUCAAUUAAAAAAGAAGAAAAGCCUCACUGAUUUGUUUCAUCCAUCACCUCAUGUGCUUUUCCAGUGAAUAUGACAAGUUUCCAUGGC
Odocoileus virginianus texanus is the source of this 1179-nucleotide non-coding RNA. The record is from RefSeq and is a predicted model, not a curated record. Lineage: Eukaryota; Metazoa; Chordata; Mammalia; Artiodactyla; Cervidae.